GCGUAUUCAGAGGAACUGAGAGAUUUAACUUUCCAUUACAGAGCACAGCGAGGCAGGUGAUAAAAGAUGCAUCUUUCCAUGCGGGUGUGCUGAGCUCCUUAUCAACCGGGAGUCACUCAGCAAGAACUGGCUCCCUUCACUGCCAAAGAAGAGAGAGACACAGAGAGACUUCCCUUCAUCUUGUCUACAACAAGUACCUCCCUACCCGUCAUCAGCGUUGAUGUGUGAGUAUAAUCUUCUGUAAACACCAAGUGCACCCAUACCUUGUUUAAUGAGACUGCCACAAUAACACGCACACAA
Molecule: long non-coding RNA, 300 nt
Organism: Gasterosteus aculeatus aculeatus (three-spined stickleback)
Lineage: Eukaryota; Metazoa; Chordata; Actinopteri; Perciformes; Gasterosteidae
Source: Ensembl